Fukomys damarensis (Damara mole-rat) is the source of this 1067-nucleotide long non-coding RNA. RefSeq lists it as uncharacterized. Lineage: Eukaryota; Metazoa; Chordata; Mammalia; Rodentia; Bathyergidae. The record is from RefSeq and is a predicted model, not a curated record. The transcript is spliced from 5 exons.
GUUUUUUUUUUCUUCUCUUAGACUCAGUGUAAUGGUGCAUGUUAUAACUGGUGGCAUCUUAGAUGAGGAGAAAUGCAGCAUGUCAUAUUACAAGAAGGCCACAGGGAAGGCAGUGCCAAGGUUGCCUAGUUUGGCAACUGAACAUUUAAGGACAUGGCUUCUUUUUAUCUUUCCACACUGUCAUCCUGAGUUUUUUGGCCUGUUCAUUUAGGCUCCCUUCACGGUUCCAGAUGAUGAUUCCAGCUCUAGGAACUCCAUGCUGACGGAAAUGUCCAAAAGCAGCCACCACAGACACAGUACCUUUGCUUUGUCUUGCCCUUCUGGCACGAUGUUUCUACCUUAGAGGCAACCAACUAUGGACGGAAUCUCCUGGAAUCACAAGUCAAAUUAAACCUCUCCUCUUUUAAGCGGUGAAUAUCAGCCAGUCCACACCCACACAUGGAUUCUGGAUGACAGGUGGCACUACUGGAAAAACGUGAAUGCUUCCCAGAGAUGGUGGCGACAAGAAAGCAGGACCCUAGGAUGUGAGUUUUGUGUGUGCAGAAGGUCUGUGUGAGGAACACACAGGUGACGAAGAAAAAUGGUCACUUGUGAGAAUUAAAUUGUUGACCACGAAGACCUUUUAGAAACAUAAAAAAAAUGGCUACCUUCACAGGGCCAGGGACGAUGCCUUCCCUUGGAUUUUAUAUAAGAAUGCUGAGAGAAAGAAAUCCUCCUUCACCUCCUUCGUCAUUACUAAUGUGAACUCACAAGUGGAGCUGCCUCCACCUGUCUCCCGCGGGUGAUCCCAGCAUAACAACCUAGCUGAGAAAGAGGACAGCUCUCUCCACUACCUGCAUGUCAGUUCCAGAGACGGGCUGGCCGACUUGGCUUCAAUCAUACCAGGUCAAGCAAGUCCUAUAUCCAGACCAUGCACAGUGCCCGGGAAUCCAUGACAUCAGGAAGACACAACUGUUGUAUGAAGAGAAACAUGGGAAAACAGAGCAGCAGGAGGACAAAACCCACUAAGAACCCUGUUGUGGGCCACACUCAUUUUUUUCCCAGACCAUGGUUUCAACUGCCCGAGU